UACGUAGGGGGCUAGCGUUGUCCGGAUUUAUUGGGCGUAAAGAGCGUGUAGGCGGCCAGGUAGGUCUGCUGUGAAAACUCGAGGCUCAACCUCGAGACGUCGGCGGAAACCAUCUGGCUAGAGUCCGGAAGAGGAGAGUGGAAUUCCUGGUGUAGCGGUGAAAUGCGCAGAUAUCAGGAAGAACACCCGUGGCGAAGGCGGCUCUCUGGUUGGAUACUGACGCUGAGACGCGAAAGCGUGGGGAGCAAACAGG
RNAcentral lists this ribosomal RNA (253 nucleotides) under uncultured bacterium. RNAcentral describes it as "partial 16S ribosomal RNA". It matches the Rfam family "Bacterial small subunit ribosomal RNA", at positions 524 to 776 of the family's 1533-position model. The record is from RNAcentral.